Molecule: ribosomal RNA, 300 nt
Filed under: uncultured Methanosphaera sp.
Lineage: Archaea; Methanobacteriati; Methanobacteriota; Methanobacteria; Methanobacteriales; Methanobacteriaceae
Description: bacterial SSU rRNA
Rfam family: Bacterial small subunit ribosomal RNA (bases 55-300)
Source: RNAcentral
UGGCAUAGGGUGUAUGAAGCUGUGUUGGUGGGUGGGGUGCAGGCGGUGAGAGGGAUUGCUGGGCUGAAGGCGGGCGCAGGCGGUUGUGUAAGACAGAUGUGCAAUGCGCGAGCUCAAGCUGGGAAGUGCAGUUGUGACGGGACGGCUGGAGGGCGGCAGAGGGGGGUGGAAGUCCGCGUGUAGCAGUGAAAUGCGUAGAUAUGCGGAGGAACACCGAUGGCGAAGGCAAUCCCCUGGGCCUGCACUGACGCUCAUGCACGAAAGCGUGGGGAGCAAACAGGAUUAGAUACCCCGGUAGUC